Molecule: non-coding RNA, 418 nt
Organism: Arachis ipaensis
Lineage: Eukaryota; Viridiplantae; Streptophyta; Magnoliopsida; Fabales; Fabaceae
Source: RefSeq, a predicted model, not a curated record
GUUAACAGAGGCACCAACAACAGUAGCAGAACACAUCAAAUGGAGAAGAACCAUAAAUCAAUUGAGCCGGUGCAACUACAUCAUCGCAGAAGAAACAGAUCCAAGGCCACAAAUUCAAUCUGCAAGGUGCAAGUUCACCAUUUCGUCUCUGCUCCUUUUCACAUUCUCCAACAACAACAACAGCAGCACCAGCAACAAUGAUGAAGGGGUAACGGAAAAUGAGAGAAGAGAUGAAGGGUCUGAAGGGUACCAUUGCAGAACUAGGUGUUGAAGUCAUCACGACAACAUCCAGUAGUGGAUGAAAUUCUCCUCCAAUCUUCUUGCGAAGCCACAGAGUCCAGUCCUCAUCAGAGACUGCAUCCUCGCGCUCUGCAACGUCGGCUCGUCGUGGCUGAUGGAGGUCGCGUGACAAUGCUUU